UGCAAGUCGAACGAUGAAGCCCGUGCUUGCACGGGUGGAUUAGUGGCGAACGGGUGAGUAUCACGUGAGUAACCUGCCCUUGACUCUGGGAUAAGCCUGGGAAACUGGGUCUAAUACCGGAUAUGACCAGUCCUCGCAUGAGGUGCUGGUGGAAAGAUUUUAUCGGUCUUGGAUGGACUCGCGGCCUAUCAGCUAGACGGUGAGGUAAUGGCUCACCGUGGCGAUGACGGGUAGCCGGCCUGAGAGGGUGACCGGCCACACUGGGACUGAGACACGGCCCAGACUCCUACGGGAGGCAGCAGUGGGGAAUAUUGCACAAUGGGCGCAAGCCUGAUGCAGCGACGCCGCGUGCGGGAUGACGGCCUUCGGGUUGUAAACCGCUUUCAGCAGGGAAGAAGCUUUUGUGACGGUACCUGCAGAAGAAGCGCCGGCUAACUACGUGCCAGCAGCCGCGGUAAUACGUAGGGCGCGAGCGUUAUCCGGAAUUAUUGGGCGUAAAGAGCUCGUAGGCGGCUUGUCGCGUCUGCUGUGAAAGCCCGGGGCUUAACCCCGGGUGUGCAGUGGGUACGGGCAGGCUAGAGUGCAGUAGGGGAGACUGGAAUUCCUGGUGUAGCGGUGAAAUGCGCAGAUAUCAGGAGGAACACCGAUGGCGAAGGCAGGUCUCUGGGCUGUUACUGACGCUGAGGAGCGAAAGCAUGGGGAGCGAACAGGAUUAGAUACCCUGGUAGUCCAUGCCGUAAACGUUGGGCACUAGGUGUGGGGGACAUUCCACGUUUUCCGCGCCGUAGCUAACGCAUUAAGUGCCCCGCCUGGGGAGUACGGCCGCAAGGCUAAAACUCAAAGGAAUUGACGGGGGCCCGCACAAGCGGCGGAGCAUGCGGAUUAAUUCGAUGCAACGCGAAGAACCUUACCAAGGCUUGACAUGGACCGGAUCGCUGCAAAGAUGUAGUUUCCCUUCGGGGCUGGUUCACAGGUGGUGCAUGGUU
RNAcentral lists this ribosomal RNA (986 nucleotides) under uncultured bacterium. RNAcentral's name for it is "bacterial SSU rRNA". It matches the Rfam family "Bacterial small subunit ribosomal RNA", at positions 56 to 1050 of the family's 1533-position model. The record is from RNAcentral.